Molecule: ribosomal RNA, 454 nt
Filed under: uncultured bacterium
Lineage: Bacteria
Description: partial 16S ribosomal RNA
Rfam family: Bacterial small subunit ribosomal RNA
Source: RNAcentral
GAUGAACGCUGACAGAAUGCUUAACACAUGCAAGUCCACUUGAACUUCGGUUUGGGUGGCGGACGGGUGAGUAACGCGUAAAGAACUUGCCUCACAGCUAGGGACAACAUUUGGAAACGAAUGCUAAUACCUGAUAUUAUGAUUUUAGGGCAUCCUAGAAUUAUGAAAGCUAUAUGCGCUGUGAGAGAGCUUUGCGUCCCAUUAGCUAGUUGGAGAGGUAACGGCUCACCAAGGCGAUGAUGGGUAGCCGGCCUGAGAGGGUGAACGGCCACAAGGGGACGGAGACACGGCCCUUACUCCUACGGGAGGCAGCAGUGGGGAAUAUUGGACAAUGGACCAAGAGUCUGAUCCAGCAAUUCUGUGUGCACGAUGAAGUUUUUCGGAAUGUAAAGUGCUUUCAGUUGGGAAGAAAAAAAUGACGGUACCAACAGAAGAAGUGACGGCUAAAUACGUG